UCUGUCGCGAGCUGUGAUUCUCCGAUUGGCAACUCGGGUUUCGCGUGGCCGGAAGAACGGGUAAACAGAACGACCCACACCGACGCACCAGCCCGAAAGCCACUGACUCUGGCUCUCACUGACAAUGAUGGACAGUGACCAACAGACGGGCAAAGGUGUGCUGGUGCCAGCUUGUACUGCCUGGCAAGAGCCAACUAUCAAAUUUUCGGGAAUUUUGGGGCCAGUUGUUAAACACAGCCAUUAUUUAAAAAUUGAUUGUAUAAACUUACGAUCAACUGGAUUUUAUUAAAACAAAGGUUGUGUGCCCAAGGAACAGUGAGGCAAACAAACCGAAACACUGGACUUUGGAGCAGAGAAAGGUUAAUUAGUUGAAGAGGCACCAACCUGGAAGAUGGGAGACGUAGACUCAUCUCAAAUCCAUCUUGCUGGCUGGCUGUGGGCACAAGGUUUUUGUUUUUACUGAAGUAUAGUUAAGUUACAGUAUUGUGGUACUUUCAGGUGUACAGCUAAGUGAUUCAAUUAUAUACAUAUAUGUAUAUGUGUAAUGAUUUAAAAAAUUUUUUUCCAUUAUAGUUUGUUACAAGACAUUGGAAAUAGUUCACUGUGCUAUACAGUAGGUCCUUGCUGUUUAUCUAUUUUAUAUAUAGUGGUGUGUAUCUGUUAAUCCCAUACUCCCAAUUUAUCCCUCCCCCC
Molecule: long non-coding RNA, 693 nt
Organism: Lagenorhynchus albirostris (white-beaked dolphin)
Lineage: Eukaryota; Metazoa; Chordata; Mammalia; Artiodactyla; Delphinidae
Exons: 3
Source: RefSeq, a predicted model, not a curated record